Cyprinus carpio (common carp) is the source of this 222-nucleotide long non-coding RNA. RefSeq lists it as uncharacterized. Lineage: Eukaryota; Metazoa; Chordata; Actinopteri; Cypriniformes; Cyprinidae. The transcript is spliced from 2 exons. The record is from RefSeq and is a predicted model, not a curated record.
AGAGUCGGAGCAGAACUCCUGUCGGACAACAUCUCCAGGACUCUACGAUCCAUUUGACUAGGCAGUUUGUGAAGACAGAUAAUCAAGAGAUGUGACAAACUGUACAGAAGUCAGUUCCAGAUCCACCCUCCACACCAGACCUCUCUCUCAUAUGGACUGCUGUCUACUAGCAUACUUCGGUUGAUGCAGAUAUUACUCAGGGACAUGAACACUUGAAUAUUG